This 586-nucleotide ribosomal RNA is filed under the name Tetrablemma thamin. RNAcentral describes it as "eukaryotic LSU rRNA". The stretch from base 388 to 586 matches the Rfam family "Eukaryotic large subunit ribosomal RNA", at positions 665 to 837 of the family's 3401-position model. The record is from RNAcentral. Lineage: Eukaryota; Metazoa; Arthropoda; Arachnida; Araneae; Tetrablemmidae.
UGCCGCUUCUGGACGGGCAGUCUCCGUUCCGCCCGACGCACUUCCUCCCGCGCUGCGGACGCCGCAGCCGGUCGGCGCUUCGGCCGCGAGGUGCGGCAACGGUCAGCGGCGGGCGGCGAGGCUUGCGCCGAGCCGCACCGUCGACCAGUCGCACCGAGGCGCGAGGCCCGACCGAGGUCUAGCCGUUCCCCGGUCGGGGAACGAGCCGUCUCCUUCGUUUCCAGGAAGCGAGCGCUCCGUCAGGCGUCCUCGGAGACGGCCCUGUCACUCCCCGUAGUGGCGGGCCGGCCGAGUCCGCCGGUGGUCGGAGAGCGGUCUCGCGGGAGCGUCUUCCGACGGCUAGCGGCGAGUAGGUCGGUCACCCACCCGACCCGUCUUGAAACACGGACCAAGGAGUCUAACAUGUGCGCGAGUCACGGGGUCUUGUUCAGGCCCACGGGCGCAAUGAAAGUGAAGGCCGCUCGCGGCCGACGUCGGGACUCUCCGCCGAGAGGCGGGGAAGCACCGACGACCCGUUCCGUCCGGCACGCCGGUCGAGCGGAGUCGGAGCGCACACGUUGGGACCCGAAAGAUGGUGAACUAUGCC